CACUGACCCAAGAGUGUAAACAAACAAGCAGACUGGGGAGUAUUAUUAAUCACAUGCACACUGUCUACUUAAUUGCAACUUGGACUCCUAAAAGUUAGAAGAGAAAUUUCCACUUAAGGAAAUUUCCAAUUGAUGAGAGCAAGGGGAGUGCCAGACAGAGGAAGAAGGAGGCUCCCCACUGAGGAAGAAGCCAGAUGCAGGAUUCAAUCUUAAAACCCUGGGAUCAUGACCUAAGCCAGAGGUGGAUGCUGAACUGACUGAGCCACUCAGGAGCCUCUAGACCAUCUAGAUUUCUAUAUGAAAUUUCACUUCAAAAGACUGGUAACACUCAGGAUCAUACACAAUUGUUCUGCAGGCCAGAUACAGGGGAUCCACUCGGGAUGACAAGGCCUUCACUGACAGGAAAGCCCCGCAAUGGAAAAAGCUGGAAUUCCUAAAUACUGGGAAGAGUAAAGGCUUCCAACACCUGCUCCACUACCACCAACACCAACUGGAACUGGAUGAUGACAUCGUGAGAAAUAAUCUUGUAUUGUACUAAGCACCAAGAUUUAGGGCUUGCUGGUUAUAUUCACCUAUCCUAAUUUAAACAUGAAUGAAUAACUAUUUCUCUUUUAAUAAA
Canis lupus familiaris (dog) is the source of this 619-nucleotide long non-coding RNA. RefSeq lists it as uncharacterized. The record is from RefSeq and is a predicted model, not a curated record. Lineage: Eukaryota; Metazoa; Chordata; Mammalia; Carnivora; Canidae. The transcript is spliced from 3 exons.